RNAcentral lists this ribosomal RNA (552 nucleotides) under Trichoderma gamsii. RNAcentral describes it as "eukaryotic LSU rRNA". The stretch from base 170 to 323 matches the Rfam family "5.8S ribosomal RNA". Lineage: Eukaryota; Fungi; Ascomycota; Sordariomycetes; Hypocreales; Hypocreaceae. The record is from RNAcentral.
UCCAACCCAAUGUGACCAUACCAAACUGUUGCCUCGGCGGGGUCACGCCCCGGGUGCGUCGCAGCCCCGGAACCAGGCGCCCGCCGGAGGGACCAACCAAACUCUUUUCUGUAGUCCCCUCGCGGACGUUAUUUCUUACAGCUCUGAGCAAAAAUUCAAAAUGAAUCAAAACUUUCAACAACGGAUCUCUUGGUUCUGGCAUCGAUGAAGAACGCAGCGAAAUGCGAUAAGUAAUGUGAAUUGCAGAAUUCAGUGAAUCAUCGAAUCUUUGAACGCACAUUGCGCCCGCCAGUAUUCUGGCGGGCAUGCCUGUCCGAGCGUCAUUUCAACCCUCGAACCCCUCCGGGGGGUCGGCGUUGGGGAUCGGGAACCCCUAAGACGGGAUCCCGGCCCCGAAAUACAGUGGCGGUCUCGCCGCAGCCUCUCCUGCGCAGUAGUUUGCACAACUCGCACCGGGAGCGCGGCGCGUCCACGUCCGUAAAACACCCAACUUCUGAAAUGUUGACCUCGGAUCAGGUAGGAAUACCCGCUGAACUUAAGCAUAUCAAAAGC